Vitis riparia (riverbank grape) is the source of this 3195-nucleotide RNA transcript. RefSeq lists it as uncharacterized. Lineage: Eukaryota; Viridiplantae; Streptophyta; Magnoliopsida; Vitales; Vitaceae. The record is from RefSeq and is a predicted model, not a curated record. The transcript has 5 exons.
GGAUGGUAUUUUUACCUCCUACGACCGGGUCUUCCGGUAAAACCCGAACUGACUAAUUGAACCACAACCGGCUAGCCCCUGCCCUAACCGGUCCAUCCGGUCGUCAACCCACGGUUUUUAUAAACCAGUAAGCUUCCCUCGGCUCACCCCUUUUCUCUCUUCAGCAUCCAAGGCCGGAGGAAAUCAAAGAGAGAAAAAACAAAUGCAAGUAAGUUGUAUGCCUCUUCUCUUUGUUUCAAUAUGCAGUAUGAUGAUUGAUGAUUAGGCUAUAAAGCAAAAUUCUACCCUAAUGUGCAUCAUUUUAAUACUGAAGAGGCUGUGUAGAAUUGUUAGUUUCAUGAAUGAAUGAAUGAAAUGCUUGCUGGGAAACGUUUUUGGGUAUAGAUAGCCAUUGCCCACUUGGUAAUUCCUUAAGGUUAUUAAGAUGGCGUUGGCGCCCCAACCUAUAGCUUCCAGUUUGGAACCACUACCUAUUACCUCCCAAAAACAUGACCCGGCAUGGAAGCAUUGUCAAAUGUUCAAGAAUGGGGACAGGGUGCAGCUCAAGUGUUUGUAUUGUGGAAAAGUGUUUAAAGGUGGUGGGAUUCAUAGGAUUAAGGAACACCUUGCGGGCCAAAAGGGUAAUGCAUCUACGUGCCUUAGAGUGUCACCUGAUGUUCGGCUUCUGAUGCAACAGAGUUUAGAUGGGGUUGUAGUGAAGAAGAAGAAGAAGCAAAAGAUUGCGGAAGAGAUAACAAGCAUAAGUCCACUGCCUACUAGUGAGAUGGACACCUUUGGCAAUCAAUGUGAUGUGAAUUCUGGACUACAAUUAUUAGCUGUUCCUGAGACACUUGAACCUGAUUCAAGUCUAUUAGUAACUAGAGAAGAAGGAAAGACCAAUAGAGGAACAGAUAGAAGGAAGCGAGGGAGAGUAAAAAGAGCAGAUAAAAGUGCAAUUCCUGAUGCUGUUGCUAUUAAUAGUAUUGCAUUAGAUUCAAAAAGGGGAAACAAUCAGGUCCAUAUGGCAAUAGCACGGUUUUUAUAUGAUGCUGGGGUACCUCUUGAGGCGGUAAACUCGGUUUAUUUCCAACAAAUGAUCGAUGCAAUUGCUUCAGGAGGACCAGGGGUUGCUGCACCCUCUAAUCAAGAUCUUAGGGGUUGGAUUCUGAAGAACUCAGUUGAAGAAGUGAAGAAUGAUAUUGACCAAUACAUGGGGACAUGGGCAAGGACUGGUUGUUCUGUUUUAGUAGACCAAUGGAAUACACACAAUGGCAGGAUCUUGAUAAACAUUUUGGCACAUUGUCCUGAAGGAAUUAUGUUCUUGAGAUCUGUGGAUGUGUCAGACAUAAUGAAUUCUGCUGAUGCUCUGUAUGAAUUGCUUAAGGAAGUGGUGGAAGAAGUGGGGGUAAGGAAUGUGUUGCAAGUGAUUACUAAUGGUGAAGAACAGUACCUUGUUGCAGGGAAAAGGUUAUCUGAUACUUUCCCUACUCUAUAUUGGGCUCCAUGUGCAUCUCGUUGCUUAGAUUUGAUGCUUGAGGAUUUUGGGAAACUUGAGUGGAUAAAUGCAACACUUGAACAGGCUAAAUCUAUUGCAAGGUUUGUCUACAAUCAUAAUGUUGUUCUGAAUAUGAUGAGAAGGUAUACUUUUGGCAAUGAUAUUGUAGCACCAGGAAUGACUCGUUUUGCUACAAACUUUAUGACACUGAAACGAAUGGUGGAUCUUAAACAAAAUUUGCAGGACAUGAUUACUUCACAGGAGUGGAUGGACUGCCCAUGUUCAAAGAAACCAGGGGGGUUGGAAAUGUUGGAUCUCAUAAGUAACCAUUCAUUCUGGUCCUCAUGCAUCCUAAUUGUCCAUUUGACAGAUCCACUCUUGCGAGUUUUCAGAAUUGUUGGCAAUGAAAAAAGACCUGCAAUGGGAUAUGUUUAUGCAGGAAUAUAUCGAGCCAAAGAAACAAUUAAGAAACAACUUGUUAAGAAGGAGGAUUAUAUCGUCUAUUGGAAUAUUAUAGACAACAGGUGGGAACAACAAUGGCAUGUUCCGCUCCAUGCUGCAGGUUUCUACCUUAAUCCCAAGUUCUUUUAUAGUAUUGAAGGAGAUAUACAUAAUGAGAUAGUGUCAGGAAUGCUUGAUUGUAUAGAAAGAUUAGUUCCUGAUACCAUAAUUCAGGAUAAAAUCAUGAAAGAGCUAAAUACGUACAAGAAUUCUAUUGGAGAUUUUGGGAGGAAGAUGGCAAUUAGAGCUAGAGAUACUCUGCUUCCUGCUGAAUGGUGGUCAACAUAUGGAGGCAGUUGCCCAAAUUUGGCACGUUUGGCCAUCCGUGUUCUGAGUCAGCCUUGCAGUUCAAUUGUAAAUAAGCGAAAUCAGAUCCCUUUUGAGCAGAUGCAUGACUCAAGAAACUGCCUAGAGCAUCAACGUCUCAUUGACCUUGUGUUUGUUCAGUACAACUUGCGAUUGAUGCAAAUGGUCCAGAUGAACAGAGAACAUGAUCCAAGGGACCCUAUCUCUUUUGACAGCAGUAAUGUUGUUGAUGACUGGGUCUCGGGGAAGGAAGCAUGCUUGCAGGAUUAUGGGACUUCAGACUGGAUGGCACUUGAUCCACCUUCAGGCAACACUAUGCUUUUAGGACCUUCAAAUGAUGAAGCUGAAGAUUUAGGCGCAGGAUUUGAUGAUGAUGAGAUUUUCAAUAGAGUAAAAGAUGUCGAGGAGGAUAAUGUUGAGGACAAUGUAGUAAGCCAGUAGAACAGCAUUCACAAAACACUGUUUUUAUGCGGAUUCCAUAUUGAAGACUGGUUACAUGUUGCACUGUAAUCAAGCAGAAAAUGACUAUUGAAUGGAUUGGCAGGUAACCAGAAAGUAAUCAAUCAAAGCAACCUUCAUCAAGGAAGAAAAGAUAUUGAAGGUUUGGAUCAAGGCUCAGCCUAUCUCAAAAAUGUCAAUCCUCCUGCAAGUCAUGGCUGACGAUAAGCAGCUUUAUUGAAAUUGUACUUAAAAAUGCCUUGUAUAUCUCUGUUCUGUUAUGCAGUUUUGUAGAAAAAUAGAGGUGAUUUCUCUUUAUAUUUCUCACCCAGAUGUUGUAGAUGAUAUCAUACACAAUAUACCUUUUAGCUAAAACUAUGAGUUACAAUUAAACCUUUGUGAAUUUUAAGUUACAUCAUCAAUUUAUAAUCACUAGAAAAAUGACUACUCAACAGUGUUGUAGUCCAACUUUAUCA